Molecule: long non-coding RNA, 202 nt
Filed under: Mytilus galloprovincialis (Mediterranean mussel)
Lineage: Eukaryota; Metazoa; Mollusca; Bivalvia; Mytilida; Mytilidae
Source: RNAcentral
UGUGUGGAUGCCGAAAAUAAAAUAAAGUACUAAUAAUCUACGUAGCUGCUGAUGAUGUUUGUUCUAAAUUGGCCAUGUCAUUCGUACAAAAACAGAGAUUUGUUCUAACGUUGAAUGAUCAAUAUAAAAAGAAGUUGUGACAUUUAAGAUAACACUCUACUAUACUCACAAAUGAGACAGAAAUUAACAGCUAUACGCCGAC